Molecule: transfer RNA, 75 nt
Filed under: Oceanipulchritudo coccoides
Lineage: Bacteria; Pseudomonadati; Verrucomicrobiota; Opitutia; Puniceicoccales; Oceanipulchritudinaceae
Also listed under: 1 other name
Description: tRNA-Gln
Rfam family: tRNA
About the family: Transfer RNA (tRNA) molecules are approximately 80 nucleotides in length.
Source: RNAcentral
AGGCCCAUGGUGUAAUUGGCAACACAGCUGGUUUUGGUCCAGCCAUUCAAGGUUCAAGUCCUUGUGGGCCUGCCA